UACGUAGGGCGCGAGCGUUGUCCGGAUUUAUUGGGCGUAAAGAGCUCGUAGGUGGUUUGUUGCGUCUGCCGUGAAAACCCGAGGCUUAACCUCGUGGCUUGCGGUGGAUACGGGCAGACUUGAGGUAGGUAGGGGAGAAUGGAAUUCCCGGUGUAGCGGUGAAAUGCGCAGAUAUCGGGAGGAACACCGGUGGCGAAGGCGGUUCUCUGGGCCUUACCUGACGCUGAGGAGCGAAAGCGUGGGGAGCGAACAGG
This 254-nucleotide ribosomal RNA is filed under the name uncultured bacterium. RNAcentral describes it as "partial 16S ribosomal RNA". It matches the Rfam family "Bacterial small subunit ribosomal RNA", at positions 524 to 776 of the family's 1533-position model. The record is from RNAcentral.